GACGAACCGUGCGAACGUUGUUCGGAAUCACUGGGCUUAAAGGGCGCGUAGGCGGCUCGCGAGGUCGGGGGUGAAAUCCCACAGCUUAACUGUGGAAGUGCCUUCGAUACCGGCGGGCUGGAGGAAGGUAGGGGUGCGCGGAACUUCUGGUGGAGCGGUGAAAUGCGUUGAUAUCAGAAGGAACGCCGGCGGCGAAAGCGGCGCACUGGACCUUUUCUGACGCUGAUGCGCGAAAGCCAGGGGAGCAAACGGG
RNAcentral lists this ribosomal RNA (253 nucleotides) under uncultured bacterium. RNAcentral describes it as "partial 16S ribosomal RNA". It matches the Rfam family "Bacterial small subunit ribosomal RNA", at positions 524 to 776 of the family's 1533-position model. The record is from RNAcentral.